This 78-nucleotide non-coding RNA is filed under the name Megasphaera sp. UPII 135-E. RNAcentral describes it as "ZMP/ZTP riboswitch aptamer (pfl RNA motif)". It matches the Rfam family "ZMP/ZTP riboswitch aptamer (pfl RNA motif)". Rfam says of the family: Previously known as pfl RNA. RNAcentral also lists the same sequence under 1 other name. The record is from Rfam by way of RNAcentral. Lineage: Bacteria; Bacillati; Bacillota; Negativicutes; Veillonellales; Veillonellaceae.
UACAUAUCAUGUGACUGACGGAAGUGGAGUUAACCACGGGGAGCAUGAAGAAUAUAGCCGACCGUCUGGGCGAUGUAU